RNAcentral lists this ribosomal RNA (252 nucleotides) under uncultured prokaryote. RNAcentral describes it as "partial 16S ribosomal RNA". It matches the Rfam family "Bacterial small subunit ribosomal RNA", at positions 523 to 774 of the family's 1533-position model. The record is from RNAcentral.
AUACGGGGGGAGCAAGCGUUGUUCGGAAUUACUGGGCGUAAAGGGCGCGUAGGCGGCCUGCUAAGUCGAACGUGAAAUCCCCGGGCUCAACCCGGGAACUGCGUCCGAUACUGGCAGGCUUGAAUCCGGGAGAGGGAUGCGGAAUUCCAGGUGUAGCGGUGAAAUGCGUAGAUAUCUGGAGGAACACCGGUGGCGAAGGCGGCAUCCUGGACCGGCAUUGACGCUGAGGCGCGAAAGCCAGGGGAGCAAACG